Molecule: transfer RNA, 60 nt
Filed under: Pipistrellus kuhlii (Kuhl's pipistrelle)
Lineage: Eukaryota; Metazoa; Chordata; Mammalia; Chiroptera; Vespertilionidae
Description: tRNA-Ser
Source: RNAcentral
GAAAAAGAAUGCAAGAGCUGCUAACUCAUGUGACCGUACUUAAAAUUACGGCUUUUUCAA